Melanotaenia boesemani (Boeseman's rainbowfish) is the source of this 91-nucleotide long non-coding RNA. RefSeq lists it as uncharacterized. NCBI's taxonomy places the organism in Eukaryota, Metazoa, Chordata, Actinopteri, Atheriniformes, Melanotaeniidae. The transcript has 3 exons. The record is from RefSeq and is a predicted model, not a curated record.
UGAAACAAUGACUCUCAGUUUAAACCGGUUCUUUGCUAAGUUGUCUGUUAUGUGUCAAAACAACUCUGGUUCAUCCCACGAAUUAGGAGCC